GUGGGGAAUCUUGCGCAAUGGGCGAAAGCCUGACGCAGCCAUGCCGCGUGAAUGAUGAAGGUCUUAGGAUUGUAAAAUUCUUUCACCGGGGACGAUAAUGACGGUACCCGGAGAAGAAGCCCCGGCUAACUUCGUGCCAGCAGCCGCGGUAAUACGAAGGGGGCUAGCGUUGCUCGGAAUUACUGGGCGUAAAGGGCGCGUAGGCGGACAGUUUAGUCAGAGGUGAAAGCCCAGGGCUCAACCUUGGGAUUGCCUUUGAUACUGGCUGUCUUGAGUACGGGAGAGGUGAGUGGAACUCCGAGUGUAGAGGUGAAAUUCGUAGAUAUUCGGAAGAACACCAGUGGCGAAGGCGACUCACUGGCCCGUUACUGACGCUGAGGCGCGAAAGCGUGGGGAGCAAACAGGAUUAGAAACCCCUGUAGUCC
RNAcentral lists this ribosomal RNA (425 nucleotides) under uncultured bacterium. Its description in RNAcentral is "bacterial SSU rRNA". It matches the Rfam family "Bacterial small subunit ribosomal RNA", at positions 354 to 796 of the family's 1533-position model. The record is from RNAcentral.